AGUGAACGCUGGCGGUAGGCCUAACACAUGCAAGUCGAACGGCAGCACAGUAAGAGCUUGCUCUUACGGGUGGCGAGUGGCGGACGGGUGAGGAAUACAUCGGAAUCUACUUUUUCGUGGGGGAUAACGUAGGGAAACUUACGCUAAUACCGCAUACGACCUACGGGUGAAAGCAGGGGAUCUUCGGACCUUGCGCGAUUGAAUGAGCCGAUGUCGGAUUAGCUAGUUGGCGGGGUAAAGGCCCACCAAGGCGACGAUCCGUAGCUGGUCUGAGAGGAUGAUCAGCCACACUGGAACUGAGACACGGUCCAGACUCCUACGGGAGGCAGCAGUGGGGAAUAUUGGACAAAGGGCGCAAGCCUGAUCCAGCCAUACCGCGUGGGUGAAGAAGGCCUUCGGGUUAUAAAGCCCUUUUGUUGGGAAAGAAAAGCAGCAGGUUAAUACCCCGCUGUUCUGACGGUACCCAAAGAAUAAGCACCGGCUAACUUCAUG
Molecule: ribosomal RNA, 492 nt
Filed under: uncultured bacterium
Lineage: Bacteria
Description: partial 16S ribosomal RNA
Rfam family: Bacterial small subunit ribosomal RNA
Source: RNAcentral